CCUACGGGAGGCAGCAGUGGGGAAUAUUGGACAAUGGGGGCAACCCUGAUCCAGCCAUGCCGCGUGUGUGAAGAAGGCCCUCGGGUUGUAAAGCACUUUCAGUGAGGAAGAACGCCUGGUGGUUAAUACCCAUCAGGAAAGACAUCACUCACAGAAGAAGCACCGGCUAACUCCGUUCCAGCAGCCGCGGUAAUACGGAGGGUGCGAGCGUUAAUCGGAAUUACUGGGCGUAAAGCGCGCGUAGGUGGCUUGAUAAGCCGGUUGUGAAAGCCCCGGGCUCAACCUGGGAACGGCAUCCGGAACUGUCAAGCUAGAGUGCAGGAGAGGAAGGUAGAAUUCCCGGUGUAGCGGUGAAAUGCGUAGAGAUCGGGAGGAAUACCAGUGGCGAAGGCGGCCUUCUGGACUGACACUGACACUGAGGUGCGAAAGCGUGGGUAGCAAACAGGAUUAGAUACCCCAGUAGUC
Molecule: ribosomal RNA, 465 nt
Filed under: Vreelandella stevensii
Lineage: Bacteria; Pseudomonadati; Pseudomonadota; Gammaproteobacteria; Oceanospirillales; Halomonadaceae
Description: partial 16S ribosomal RNA
Rfam family: Bacterial small subunit ribosomal RNA
Source: RNAcentral